CUUCAGCGAUCCCAGCCACAGCGGACGCUCGGGAUCACGAUCUUGGCCGUAGGUCGCCAGCAGCGCCUGCGCCUC
This 75-nucleotide antisense RNA is filed under the name Nocardia asteroides. RNAcentral's name for it is "ASpks TB sRNA". It matches the Rfam family "ASpks TB sRNA". Lineage: Bacteria; Bacillati; Actinomycetota; Actinomycetes; Mycobacteriales; Nocardiaceae. RNAcentral also lists the same sequence under 1 other name. The record is from RNAcentral.